CCCUUAGAUGUUCUGGGCCGCACGCGCGCUACACUGAAGGGAUCAGCGUGUUUUCCCUUCCCGAGAGGGACGGGUAACCCGCUGAACCCCCUUCGUGGUAGGGAUCGGAGCUUGCAAUUGUUCUCCGUGAACCAGGAAUUCCCAGUAAGCGCAAGUCAUAAGCUUGCGUUGAUUACGUCCCCGCCCUUUGUACACACCGCCCGUCGCUACUACCGAUUGAACGUUUUAGUGAGGUAUUUGGACUGGGCCUUGGGAGGUUUCGGCCUCCCUUGUUGCUCGGAAAGACUCCCAAACUUGAGCGUUUAGAGGAAGUAAAAGUCGUAACA
Molecule: ribosomal RNA, 326 nt
Filed under: uncultured eukaryote
Lineage: Eukaryota
Description: partial 18S ribosomal RNA
Rfam family: Eukaryotic small subunit ribosomal RNA
Source: RNAcentral